AUAGGAGCAGUACCGUGAGGGAAAGGUGAAAAGGACCCCGGGAGGGGAGUGAAAGAGAACCUGAAACCUUGUGCUUACAAGCAGUCAAAGCACGUUAACGUGUGAUGACGUACUCUUUGUAGAACGGUCCGGCGAGUUAUAGUAACGAGCAAGCUUAAGGUAUUGAGUACCGGAGGCGAAGCGAGAGCGAGUCUGAAUAGGGCGUAAAGUUCGUUGCCAUAGACCCGAAACCGGGUGACCUAUCCAUGAGCAGGCUGAAGUGAGAGUAAAAUCUCAUGGAGGGCCGAACCGACCCCCGUUGCAAUGGUGGCGGAUGACUUGUGGAUAGCGGAGAAAUUCCAAUCGAACUCGGAGAUAGCUGGUUCUCCCCGAAAUAGCUUUAGGGCUAGCGUUAUGUUAGAUUACCGGAGGUAAAGCACUGAAUGGUGGCGGGGCCGAUAAGGUUACCAAGACCUAUCAAACUCUGAAUGCCGGAUAAUUGAUGCAUAGCAGUCAGACAGCGUGAGAUAAGUUUCGUUGUCAAAAGGGAAACAGCCCAGACCCACAGCUAAGGUCCCAAAUUCAUGCUAAGUGGAAAACGAUGUGGAAUUGCGAAAACAACCAGGAUGUUGGCUUAGAAGCAGCCACUCAUUAAAAGAGUGCGUAAUAGCUCACUGGUCGAGUGACUCUGCGCGGAAAAUAUAACGGGGCUAAGCAUGAAACCGAAGCUUGGGCUUGUACUUAGGUACAGGGGUAGGGGAGCGUCGAGUAUAGGGUGAAGUCAGAGCGGAAGCACUGGUGGACUGUACUCGAGUGAGAAUGCCGGAAUGAGUAGCGAGAAUUAUGUGGGAAUCAUAAUGGCCGGAAAUCUAAGGUUUCUUGGGGAAGGUUCGUCCGCCCAAGGUAAGUCGGGAGCUAAGCUCAGGCCGAGAGGCGUAGGCGAUGCACAUACGGUAGAAAUUCCGUAACCACCGAAACUUAAACAGAGGGACACUUCGAAAUAGCGGAACCCGGGCGUUGGUUGACCCGGGCGAAAGGGAGCGAAAUUAGAGUAGCGAAGUCCGCGAUGUUCGGAGGCGAGAAAAGCUCUGAGGUAUGCUAAGGUGCCCGUACCGCAAACCGACACAGGUAGAUGAGGAGAGAAUCCUAAGGCCAACGGGAGAAGGGUUGUUAAGGAACUCGGCAAAUUGACCCCGUAACUUCGGAAGAAGGGGAGCCCCCUACGGGGGGUCGCAGAGAAAUGGCCCAAGCAACUGUUUACCAAAAACACAGGUCUAUGCUAAAUCGAAAGAUGACGUAUAUGGGCUGACGCCUGCCCGGUGCCGGAAGGUUAAGAGGAGAUGUCAGGCAACGAAGCAUUGAAUUUAAGCCCCGGUAAACGGCGGCCGUAACUAUAACGGUCCUAAGGUAGCGAAAUUCCUUGUCAGGUAAGUUCUGACCCGCACGAAUGGCGUAAUGAUUUGGGCACUGUCUCAACAGCCCGCCCGGCGAAAUUGUAGUACUGGUGAAGAUGCCAGUUACCCGCAACUAGACGAA
RNAcentral lists this ribosomal RNA (1515 nucleotides) under metagenome. RNAcentral's name for it is "bacterial LSU rRNA". It matches the Rfam family "Bacterial large subunit ribosomal RNA", at positions 489 to 2084 of the family's 2925-position model. The record is from RNAcentral.